RNAcentral lists this ribosomal RNA (483 nucleotides) under uncultured bacterium. RNAcentral describes it as "bacterial SSU rRNA". It matches the Rfam family "Bacterial small subunit ribosomal RNA", at positions 28 to 524 of the family's 1533-position model. The record is from RNAcentral.
GACGAACGCUGGCGGCGUGCUUAACACAUGCAAGUCGAACGGUAAGGCCCUUCGGGUACGACGAGUGGCGGAACGGGUGGAGUAACACGUGGGUGAUCUGCCCUGCACUUCGGGAUAAGCUUGGGAAACUGGGUCUAAUACCGGAUAGGACCACGGUCUGCAUGGAUUGUGGUGGAAAGCUUUUGCGGUGUGGGAUGGGCCCGCGGCCUAUCAGCUUGUUGGUGGGGUGAUGGCCUACCAAGGCGACGACGGGUAGCCGGCCUGAGAGGGUGUCCGGCCACACUGGGACUGAGAUACGGCCCAGACUCCUACGGGAGGCAGCAGUGGGGGAAUAUUGCACAAUGGGCGCAAGCCUGAUGCAGCGACGCCGCGUGGGGGGAUGACGGCCUUCGGGUUGUAAACCUCUUUCAGCAGGGACGAAGGGUGACUGACGGUACCUGUAGAAGAAGCACCGGCCAACUACGUGCCAGCAGCCGCGGUAAU